UGAGCACCUGACUCAGCAUCCUGGGCCUCCAUUUCCCCACCUGCAAAAGUGGGGGUGCUCUUGCUCAUGCUCAGGGAAGGCACCAGAAGGGCAGUGCUGGGUGUGGACUGGGCCCAUAAACUCCAGUUGACCCAGGUCGACCCUGCAGCCCAGGCAGCCUGGUCUGGGAGCCGGGCCUGACCACUGAACUCACUGCCUCCCCGGCCAGGGGUCUUUCUAACACUUGCGUUGCAGCACCAAACCCCCAAACCAAUCAGAUGCUGGUGACAAAGGACCCUCUGAGACCACGCGUCCCGGGCUCAGGAUUAUCAGGAAAAAGGAAACAAUGAAGGGUUGGCCUUUCCAGAAGUGAGGGAAGAUGCUCCAGAGAGAGCGGCAGGGACGUCACUGUCACCCGCACCGACCCCACUGUGUGCUCAUCAUCCCAGGCCUUUCCCACCUCAGCUGCUCUUCUGGUCACUCAAGGUCCACAGGCCCAUCUGCUGCUGUUCCUGAGGGACGAGCCAGCCCUGUCCUGGCCUCCCCUCGGCUCCCAUGCCCUUGUCCGAGCGCUGACACGUGGAUGUCUUCCCUCCUGGUCCCCUUUGACCAGACGGGGCCGUCACCCGUCUCUGGCCUGCUUCCCCAGUCUCCAGCUUUGCCCGCCCUCGGGGCACCAGGGAGCUCGCCCCCAGCAGGCCUGGGAGGGAGAGUGGACCCCAGAGGACUGUGCUGGCGGAGCCCUGGCCCCUGAGGCGGGCCUGGCCCGCGACACAGGUCUUUAAAUAUGUGUCCAGUGAAUCAUGCAGCCCUUCCCUUGAGGAUUCGGUCAGUUCAACCUCAAAAAAAGCAAUGAGGAGCCCGUGUCUGUGGGCGUUUGUCCUGAGCUCCAGAAAAAACCUUCGGAAGAGAAGAUUCAGCGAGAGACUAAGCACCUGGGCUCCUCAGGCCGCGCCUUGCCCUGCGUCAUUCCUUGAGCAUCAGUCACUACCAAGCACUGGACGCUGCAGAGACACCAAACUGUGUGAAGGUCCCCAC
Molecule: long non-coding RNA, 1017 nt
Filed under: Marmota monax (woodchuck)
Lineage: Eukaryota; Metazoa; Chordata; Mammalia; Rodentia; Sciuridae
Source: RNAcentral